RNAcentral lists this ribosomal RNA (429 nucleotides) under Pseudomonadota bacterium. RNAcentral describes it as "Proteobacteria bacterium partial 16S ribosomal RNA". It matches the Rfam family "Bacterial small subunit ribosomal RNA", at positions 355 to 776 of the family's 1533-position model. Lineage: Bacteria; Pseudomonadati; Pseudomonadota. The record is from RNAcentral.
UGGGGAAUAUUGGACAAUGGGCGAAAGCCUGAUCCAGCCAUGCCGCGUGUGUGAAGAAGGUCUUCGGAUUGUAAAGCACUUUAAGUUGGGAGGAAGGGCAGUAAGCGAAUACCUUGCUGUUUUGACGUUACCGACAGAAUAAGCACCGGCUAACUCUGUGCCAGCAGCCGCGGUAAUACAGAGGGUGCAAGCGUUAAUCGGAAUUACUGGGCGUAAAGCGCGCGUAGGCGGCUAAUUGAGUCGGAUGUGAAAUCCCCGAGCUUAACUUGGGAAUUGCAUUCGAUACUGGUUAGCUAGAGUGUGGGAGAGGAUGGUAGAAUUCCAGGUGUAGCGGUGAAAUGCGUAGAGAUCUGGAGGAAUACCGAUGGCGAAGGCAGCCAUCUGGCCUAACACUGACGCUGAGGUGCGAAAGCAUGGGGAGCAAACAGG